CUAGCAUAUCAAUAAGCGGAGGAAAAGAAACCAACAGGGAUUGCCUCAGUAACGGCGAGUGAAGCGGCAACAGCUCAAAUUUAAAAUCUGGCCUUCCCGAGGCCCGAGUUGUAAUUUGUAGAGGGUGCUUUGGCAUUGGCCCCAGUCUAAGUUCCUUGGAACAGGACGUCAUGGAGGGUGAGAAUCCCGUAUGUGGCUGGUGGCCUUUGCCCUGUAAAGUCCCUUCAACGAGUCGAGUUGUUUGGGAAUGCAGCUCUAAAUGGGAGGUAAAUUUCUUCUAAAGCUAAAUAUUGGCCAGAGACCGAUAGUGCACAAGUAGAGUGAUCGAAAGAUGAAAAGCACUUUGGAAAGAGAGUGAGACAGCACGUGAAAUUGUUGAAAGGGAAGCGCUUGCAGCCAGACUUGCCCGCUGUUGCCCCGCCUGGCUUCUGCAAGGCGGACUCUCCAGCGGGCAGGCCAGCAUCAGUCUGGGCGGUCGGACAAAGGCCCUGGGAAUGUGGCUCCCUUCGGGGAGUGUUAUAGCCUGGGGCGCCACGCGACCAGCCGGGACUGAGGCCUGCGCAUCUGCUAGGAUGCUGGCGUAAUGGCUGCAAGCGGCCCGUCUUGAAACACGGACCAAGGAGUCUAACAUCUAUGCGAGUGUUUGGGUGUGAAGCCCUGGCGCGCAAUGAAAGUGAAUGGAGGUGGGAACCCUACCUUGGGUGCACCAUCGACCGAUCCUGAUGUUUUCGGAUGGAUUUGAGUAAGAGCAUAGCUGUUGGGACCCGAAAGAUGGUGAACUAUGCCUGAAUAGGGUGAAGCCAGAGGAAACUCUGGUGGAGGCUCGCAGCGGUUCUGACGUGCAAAUCGAUCGUCGAAUUUGGGCAUAGGGGCGAAAGACUAAUCUAACCAUCUAGUAGCUGGUUCCUGCGA
This 912-nucleotide ribosomal RNA is filed under the name Salsuginea ramicola. RNAcentral's name for it is "LSU rRNA". It matches the Rfam family "Eukaryotic large subunit ribosomal RNA", at positions 34 to 963 of the family's 3401-position model. The record is from RNAcentral. Lineage: Eukaryota; Fungi; Ascomycota; Dothideomycetes; Pleosporales.